AUGAAGAAUUCCACUUAUAGCAUGUGUAGUGGUUGUGUACUCUCUCUUGCAUUGUGUAGAUAAUCAAACUGGGAGCAUCCUCCCUACUGGCAUCAAAUCCGCCGUUUAUUUGUAGGAGCUGGUAAAACACACUGAUAUUACUCUGACAGUCGUGCACGUGGUAACCUCCAGAUAAUGCUAAAAACACAAAACAAUUUAUUCAGCACGGAGGUUAAACUUAAUCAGCAUUUUGGUAGUGGAGCUUAAACUGGUCCUCUUGCCAUGGCAACCGGACACAGCAGACUGAGACCGCAAUGUGGGGAACACACCCCAAGUCUGCAGGGGCCCGGACGUUGUGCGUCCACGCCAUAUCCGGCGGUCACCGUGGGAACCAAAUAUGUAAUAUGAGAUGGCAAGUGGAAUCAUUAACUCCGCCUCCACUACACAUGUAGAACAUCAUGAAGUGUUCAGGUGAACAGUUAACGGUGAACUGAGACACAUUGUGAGUAAGAGAGGAUGGGCUCUUAAUAAUAUGGUGUCUAGGGCUGCACGAUGUUGGAAAUAUGUGCGAUCUGUGUGUCAAGAUCUGCGAUAUCAAUAUAUAUUGCGAUAUUGGAUAUUAGUGCCGUUGUCCGAUGUGACAGCCACUUGUUUCUCUUCUUGCAAUCCCCAGUUCGUCAACACAUCCCACAGGGCAGCCGCUAUAUUUUCACCGGUGUGGGAGUCCAGAAAGUAGGAGACUUCUAAGCAGCGUGUUUUCAGUUCAAAGUCAUUUGUGAGAAAGUGAACAGUAAAACUGAUGUAGGGCUCAGUAGCACAACUGGACCAUAAAUCUGUGGUGCUUGCAAAGAAAUCCACAUUAUUAAGCUCCGCUUUUAGAGACCCCAAGCAUGCCUCGUACAUCUGUGGAAUGGCGACUUGGUAAAUAGCUCUGUGAUGGCAUUGGUUAUCUGUGGUCGAAUUCUUUCAGCAUAUCCAAAAAAUCUUCUUUGCACACGACAUUAACAGAGAGUGUGUAUUUCACAAUAUAACGUGUAAUGGCCGCAGUUAAACCUUGGUGGCGCUUGGAAGUUUUUUCAUAAGGUGUAACAGAAAAAAAACUUUGACCAGUUGUUGUCUGUGUGCUUGCCUUUCGUUUGUCUGCCUUCAUGGGAGUAGCUCGUGGUGUUUUAGAUCGUAAGAAAAAGGCAUACAGUUCCUUGUCAGGGUAUCCACGGGGUAGUAAAAGGUAGUAAAUGAAAUGAGCUCAAAUUAAGGCCAGUAAAAGGUAACAAAUGCAGUUUCACUUGGUAGUAAUUUUUUCAUCACCUUUUUAAUAUAUGACGUUUCCAUUGAUGCUGGUUCGUUCAUUUAAUUAAUAUGUGUAUGUAUAUAUAUAUAUGAAAAAAGAAACAUACAUGCGAGCAGUGGUCGCUCUGGUCUGAUCUGCGCAUGCGCGCUGUGUUACUUUAGCACUAGCAAACCACUCUCUCGACAUAAAUGCAUCAAGAUGGGAAAAUGAAAGUUUUCACAGAUGUGGCUCGAUGACCCGGCAUUAAGAGAUUGGUUGAAGCCAGUCAUGGGAAAUGACUGAGAAGCUUUUUGUAUCUUUUGUAAAAAGACGAUUAAUGUUACGUGGAACGGUGUGAAAUCUCUUAAAUCACACCAACAAUCAACUUUUCACCAGCAGCAGAUUCGCACGCGAUGGGAGCAAUUUCCCAUUUCAUUUUUUGGUGCGACACAAAGCUCAACUCUGAGUACAGGCUCCGCUACAUGUACAAGUGCUGCUGUCACUCUGCGGGGGCCAACCACCAGCACCGCGACAGCUUCAGCAGACAGGCAGCAGGUCCUGCUGUCAACAACUUCAGCCAUCAGAGCGGAGGUUCUCUGGUGACUGAACAUCGCAGCCAGGCAUCAUUCGUUCUCCUCAAACGAAGGUAUUGGGGAGCUUUUAGAGAAUAUGUUCCCAGACUCAGAAAUAGCCAAAAGCUUCGCAUGUGGCAAGGACAAAACAGUGUACAUGAUUCGAUAUUGCGCCUCAUUUUAAAAUGUUACUAGUCAAAAGCGUAAAUGAUGCGGGACCAUUCGUACUGAUGUUUGAUGAGUCUCUAAACGAGUCGGCCAAGAAAAAGCAGCUGGAUAUCCAUGUCCGAAUGUGGAAAGAUGACCGUGUGACGUUGUCAUACUUUGGAUCACAGUUCCUGGGACGUGCAAGGGCCGAAGAUCUGCUACAACACGUCAAAGUAAGUUGACUUAUUUUUCUUUGUUAGGCCUAUUUGAACAUGUUAAUCAUAUAGUUAACCAACAGGCCACAAUCCACAAGCUUGUGUGUGGAUGCUAUGGACUAUGAUACUGAGACAGUGGCCUUUGCCCUGUGUGUGUGUGUGUGUGUGUGUGUGUGUGUGUGUGUGUGUGUGUGUGUGUGUGUGUGUGUGUGCGUGUGCGCGUGCGCGUGUGCGUGCGCGUGUGUGCGCGCGCGUGUGUGUGUGCGUGUGUGUGUGUGCGCAUAUGAGUGAGUGAAGGCGUCUGUGUUUACAUUUGCAGAUGAAGGAUUUAGCUAGUAUUUCUGAAUAAUGAAUACCACAGAAUUGAUUGACAUACAGUAUAUACUGAGGCAUGGCUCCAGUCCGGCCGAGAUCUAUGACCGCUGCCAUCUUAGCUCACGUCCGUCUUUACUGUUUGUUUUCUUUCAUACAACAACUCAGUGGGGCAUCUUACUUGUCCUGCGAUCCCACUGGACCUCCGGCUUACUUUAUCCUUGUCGCCAAUUAUGUAGUAACUCAAUGUGGAGCUUCUUAAUGAACAGAUGACCUUUAUUUUGCUUCAGCCAUUCAUUGGAAUACAGCUCAGUACAGCCCGUUCUUAGCAACACACGAUACUCACAGUUCUUGCUCUGCAACUUCCUACUGACUACCAGCGAUGCCCGAGGUAACAUUGCCACCUAGUGGACACUCCUGCAACACCAAUAUUUCACAGUUACAACAGUGAAGAAUUCCACUUUCAGCAUGUGUAGUGGUUGUGUACUCUCUCUUGCAUUGUGUAGGUAAUCAAACUGAGAUCUAUGAAUAACCAAACACUCAGGACACAUAAUUUGAAUACAUUUUAUUCUUUCCAUUCACAGGAAUGCGUUGCACAACUCAAUAUGAUACACUUGCUCUCCAUCAGUAUGGAUGGCCCGAACGUCAACCUCAAGAUGCUGGAGCUCUUUCAGAGGGAGUAUGCGGAGCCUCAUGGGGAUGCGCAACUCAUCCGUGUUGGCAGUUGUGGUUUGCAUACCCUCCUCAAUGCCAUGAAGUCAGGAUUUGCAACAUGGGAGGUGGACAAGCUCUUACGAGCCAUGCACUAUAUGUUCCACAAUGUUCCUGCACGUAGAGAAGAUUACACCGCCACCACAGGAUCCUCUACUUUUCCCCGAUCUUUCUGCGGCCACAGAUGGGUGGAAAAUGUCCCUGUGGCUGAGAGAGCUGUUGACAUUUGGCCCAUGCUCUUAACAUACAUUGGUGCUGUAGAGAAGAAGAAGGUGCCAAGACCCAACACUGCUUCAUACGACACAGUUUCUGCAGCAUGUGGCGAUGAUUUUACAGUACCAAAACUCCAGUUCUUCUUGUCAGUUGCAAGAAGCUUCAGCCCAUUCCUGACCAAAUAUCAGACUGACCAGCCUGUGCUGCCGUUUUUGGCUAAAGAUCUGACUGAGUUCCUGAUGGUUUAAUGCAGCAAUUUGUCAAAAGGGAGCUUCUCGAGGACAGAAACCCGCAGCAGCUGAUCAAAAUCCAGGUGGCCCAGGAGAACAACUGGGUCUCUCUUAAAAAUGUUGACAUUGGCCUGGGUGCUGAAUCUGCAAUAAAGGCCUUACAGAGCAAACCAGGAUGCAAGAUAGGGGAGCUUUCAGUGCUAAACUUCCGGAAAGAGUGUUUGCAGAACCUUGUGAAGGUGGUGGGAAAACUGCAGGACAAGUGCCCCUUAAAUUCCCUAUGGCUAGACUCAUCGCAUGCCUCGAUCCCAGAAGAAUCCACCGAGAACCAGAGUGGUGCAUCAAGCAAAUGAAGACUGUAGUGCAGACAUUCCUGCAGGGCAAGCAAUUGACAGGUGGCAUUCCAGCUGGUGAUGUCAUCAUUCAGCAGUUUGCAUCCUUGGCCUCUGUGGAAGGAAGAGAUGAGCGUUUCCUGUCCUGUAAACCAGUGCAGGGCUGCCUUGAUGUGUUUCUUUACACAGUUCUCAGCACUCCUUACCCCGACUUACUACGUUUCUGCAAGAUAAUCCUCCUUCUGUCCCACGGACAAGCCACUGUUGAAAGAGGCUUUUCAGUCAACAAGGAGGUGGAGACAUGUAACCUCCGGGAUGACUCUCUGGAAUCGCUACACUUAGUCUGUGACCGAAUCAGCAGUUGUGGAGGUGUUUUGAAAGUGCCUCUUACAAAGGAGCUCCUUGCCUCUGCCUCGUCUGCAAGAUCUAAAUACAGACUGUACCUGGAGAGUGAAAGACAAAAAAAAAGGAGAGUGCUGCACAUGCUCUGAAGGGGAAAGCAGCAGAGGAUGAGCUGUUGGACCUCAGAACCCAGCGUGAGGUGCUAAGCAGUGUCUGUGAGUCACUUGAAAGUGACGCAAACAAGUUGGCUGAGCAGGCUGAGGGAAAGGCCGGGUCCAAAAUGGCUGAACUUAUUACCAAGUCCAACACGCUUCGUAGAAGACAAAAAGGAAAAAACAGAGCUCUGUCACUCGGAGGAAAAGAUUGAAGAGAAAGCAUCACAACUGAGACUCUUCUAACUGCCUCGGUGCACUGUGGCUGUGCUCGCCCCCUCAACCUGGCAGUAAUGUUAAAUUGUGUCAGUUACAACUGUUAAGACUCCUCUCUUAAAAGGGAAAUGUAAUGUAAUUUAUAUUUUGGAGCAUGUUCACUCUGCCAUUUGAUGUUGGUGCUGUUGAUGUUCUUUAAUGUUACUUUACUUUGAUGUUGGUUUUAGAUGCUAAAUGUUUUCCCAGCUGUCUCUUUUCAAAAUUGGUUGAAUCCAUUUCUGAAAUAUGCAUUUUUUGGAUAAACUAAAAAAAUUGCAAUAAAAAUUGCCUCAUAAAA
RNA transcript from Acanthochromis polyacanthus (spiny chromis), 5028 nucleotides. RefSeq lists it as uncharacterized. The transcript is spliced from 4 exons. Lineage: Eukaryota; Metazoa; Chordata; Actinopteri; Pomacentridae. The record is from RefSeq and is a predicted model, not a curated record.